AAUCCACGUGCAUGGAGCGAGCAGAGUGGCCACUUAAAGUGAUAACAAAGGAAGAGCUGGCUACUGGCAGGGAGCUCCUGCUGAAAUGAUGCUCAGAAGACAAAAUAAUAUACAUUUCCACCUCAAGAAAACUAGCUGAAGGGUAUUCCUCUCCAAUUGCCAUGUGGACAUCUUCAGGCAGUUGAUUAUCUGUCAUUCGCAAUCUUCCAGUGUGGCAGCUUUGUCCUGCUCAGCAACACGACAGAUGGACCUUACAGCCGAGGAAGACAGGACAAAGCACAACAGGCCUGUAAGACACCAAGAAUGAUAAGUUUAGCUGCUUUGGUAUCGGAAUCAACAUGGGGGUUGCUGUAACUUCGGCUACUUUUUACUCACUCUUCCUAUGUGUUUGCCCAAGUGAGAACAGCAGUGCUACGCCAUACCCGGUCGACUGGGAAUCGGGAGGAAUAAUGGAUUGUGAUGAGCAUAUUCCCAGGUUCCAGAAUGAGUAAAAAAUAAAGGACAGGGAAGAAUGUGAUGGCAACAUUUCUCUGAUCCAUUUCUUAGGGGUAGAAUUGAUUGGCACUAUGUCUCCACACUCUGUCUAGAUUUUUGCAAGGGUGUUUUCAUAAAUGAUGUGCAGCUGUCACGUCAUCAGUUGUCACCUCAUGAUGCUCCUUCUUUCCAGCUCCCAGGCAGGCAUGUAUAUGGUAUGGAACAGAACAUAUACAAGUUGCUGAAAUAGCCCUCAGUACAAAAGAGGCAUCUGUGAAAGUGAAAAUGAAGCUAGUACUAGUGUAAACACACACAGUACCCAUUGUAUUUAGCUCUCUGGAAUGGAGGGCAGGUUUUGAUCAAGCCAUCGUGAGCUCGCCUUACAGACAACAAUGCCCAUCUGUGUUGCUAUCUUUGGGAAAAUAUGCCCAUGAGGAAACACGGGAGAUUUGAGUGAAGAUCUUGGUAGUGCAGUGGGGACUGUGAAGUGAGUUGUAGCCAACUCUGGCAAAACCUGCUUUCCCAUCCCCAGUUUUUAUCCACUAUGAAGCUCAUGCAUUCCGGGAUCAUCAUCAGGUCUGUUGAUGGCAUUUUGACCAACCAGAGAGCUCUUCUUGGUGCAAUCAGUGUAAAGUAAGACUACAUCGUGCUCUUUAAAAAGAGAUUCUGGAAAACCUCCCAGAUUUGUACAUGUACCUCUUUAGUUUACAAUUCAGAGGACAAGGCUGAACAGGGAUUUGAUGGAGAUUAAUAGCUGGGUUCUUUUUCCCCCAUUUAGAAAUAAAGUAAUAGCCACACUCUAAAAUAAAACCCCUCCAGGAUUUGCUGGCAUACAUAGAACAAUGCUUCUGUGCUAGAUGUGUACAGCUGUAUUUGCACCAUUGUGAUUCACCUUUUUAGAAAGCCCUAUCAAGAGAGUCCAUUUAUAACUCCAUUUAGAAGCUUCCUAUUAUUUGUAUUACAGUAGCACCUAGAGAUCCCAACAGAGAUGGAAACCUCCUUGUGCUAGGCACUGUACAAACACAUAGUGAGAGACAAUCUCUGCCCCGAACUGCUUACAAUCUAAAGAGAGAGUGCAGACAAAGGAUGGGAGAAGAAAGAGAUUAAAUGACUUGGCCAAGAUCAUACAGCAGGUCAGUGUCCGAGCCAGCAAUAGGACUCUUCCUUCCAUGGCUCUAGCUGCUAGACAGCGCUGCCUCUCUAAACAAAACCUAUAGCUCCUGCCCUGCACGCACCCUGCUCACAUUU
Long non-coding RNA from Chelonia mydas (Green sea turtle), 1722 nucleotides. RefSeq lists it as uncharacterized. The record is from RefSeq and is a predicted model, not a curated record. The transcript is spliced from 3 exons. NCBI's taxonomy places the organism in Eukaryota, Metazoa, Chordata, Testudines, Cheloniidae.